RNAcentral lists this transfer RNA (77 nucleotides) under Flavobacteriia bacterium. RNAcentral's name for it is "tRNA-Arg". It matches the Rfam family "tRNA". From Rfam's summary of the family: Transfer RNA (tRNA) molecules are approximately 80 nucleotides in length. Their secondary structure includes four short double-helical elements and three loops (D, anti-codon, and T loops). The record is from RNAcentral. Lineage: Bacteria; Pseudomonadati; Bacteroidota; Flavobacteriia.
GGCCGCAUAGUUCAAUUGGAUAGAAUAUCAGAUUUCGGCUCUGAGGGUUGAGGGUUCGAGUCCUUCUGCGGUCACAA